This is a long non-coding RNA of Thunnus maccoyii (southern bluefin tuna), 1112 nucleotides long. RefSeq lists it as uncharacterized. Lineage: Eukaryota; Metazoa; Chordata; Actinopteri; Scombriformes; Scombridae. The record is from RefSeq and is a predicted model, not a curated record. The transcript has 5 exons.
AUACUUCAUCUCCAUGAAGGACAGACAGACAACAGAUAAUGUGGAGGAGAAGAAGAUCGAGCUGCUGUGUCAGGUGUUCAACAUGAGAAAUAACAACUAGUAGAUGAAGCAGAAAAGGAUUUCAGACAUGACCAUUCUGCUAUCGGACUGGAUCAGCAUAUUGAAGAACAAUGAUGACUAACUACCUGGCCUCAAAAGCAUCAGAAAGCAUAAGAAGUGUGCGUUGGUCAUGUCCUCAAACAUAUUAACCAGACAUAUCAUGCAGAUCGUAUCAUAGAACAAGGAACACCAGUGCAAUACAGUGCAGAGUACAUUCACAAAUUGCACAUUGACCUAAACAAGAAACUGGUGAUGUUUGGGGUGACCAAUGUCCUUUCUGUUGAUGGUUUCUCCAGCAAAAACAACCUGACCAUAUAUCAAGAGGUUUACAGGCAAGGGUAUCACCAGUCAACUGGCUCUGGGUGGAUGCUCAAAGAAACUGCCUGCAGAUCCUCUGCCAGAGCCUGCAGAGGCUGCAGACUGCUAUGACCGGGAGGUGGGGUCCUCUUUGACACGAGUGUCACUGUUUGGCAGAAACCCAUUUUCCACAAUGUAGCACCAAGCAGAAACUGAACAAGAAUUUACACAGCACUAUUUGGACAUUUCUGACCUCUUUGGCAGUGCUGUGAACCAGGGCGUUUUCAAAAUGGAAUUAAAGACCUAAAAGAAAUUGUAAGAAGACAUUUGUAAAGACAAGUGCCUCAAGUGCAGGGACGAACAGCCUGUGUACACAGAGGUGGCUAGACUGUCUGCAGCACUGGCCUCUUUGCCCUGCCGUAAAGAGGACAGCAGUUCAGUUUAGUGUGUUCUAUGUGUUCAAGUUCUAUGUUCAGUGUUCUGUGUUGAACUAGAACUCCUCACCAAAAAAAAUAUCCCACAUUUGUCAGGCACCAGAUGAGCACGCAUCACGCAUUUGGAUUUUUACAUGGGCUCACACUUUGGUCUGUUUGGUCUGGUCUCAAGCGGUAAUUUUCAACAGAUUUCCCAUUUACAUGUCUUUUUUUAAACUUGUUUGAUGCUCAGUGUUCUGUGUUUGAUGUUCACUUUUGAAUAAAUUAAAAACACUGUUUGAA